RNAcentral lists this ribosomal RNA (464 nucleotides) under uncultured bacterium. RNAcentral describes it as "bacterial SSU rRNA". It matches the Rfam family "Bacterial small subunit ribosomal RNA", at positions 330 to 792 of the family's 1533-position model. The record is from RNAcentral.
CCCAGACUCCUACGGGAGGCAGCAGUGAGGAAUAUUGGUCAAUGGACGCAAGUCUGAACCAGCCAUGCCGCGUGCAGGAAGAAGGUGCUAUGCAUUGUAAACUGCUUUUAUACGGGGGUAAUUACAGAUACGUGUAUCUGGAUGAAAGUACCGUAUGAAUAAGGAUCGGCUAACUCCGUGCCAGCAGCCGCGGUAAUACGGAGGAUGCGAGCGUUAUCCGGAUUUAUUGGGUUUAAAGGGUGCGUAGGCGGUUUUUUAAGUUAGUGGUUAAACGUCGGGGCUUCACCUUGAUUUGCCAUUAAUACUGUAAGACUCGAGUUCAGACGAGGUAGGCGGAAUAAGUUAAGUAGCGGUGAAAUGCUUAGAUAUAACUUAGAACUCCGAUAGCGAAGGCAGCUUACCAGACUGCGACUGACGCUGAAGCACGAGAGCGUGGGUAGCGAACAGGAUUAGAUACCCCUGUA